AAUUGAAGUGUAAAUAAGGGUUUGGGCUGUGUAAAUCUGGACAGCAAGAGGUGCUGCUGGUGGUAAUUCCCUGUGUCCCAGAGGGAGGAGGCAGCAGGAGCUGUCUGGGCUCUGGCUCUCUGCAGAGCAGAGGAUGAGGAAGGAAGCAGUGGACACACGGAUUUCCCUGUCCCAGCACUGAUGUGAAAUGCUGAGGGGCUGAGAGUUCCCUCUCCUGAUUCUUCAUGACAGCACAAAGAGUCGGUGACCAGCACCUUGCUCCAGACUUCCACGAUCCUUGUGCUGCGAGUUCCCUUCCAGGAGAGGUCAAGAAUCAAGCCCUGCAUCCUGGAAGUCAGGAGCCAGGCUGUGUUUGCAGGACAGGGACUGCUGCCCAGGCAAGCAGGGAGCUGGAGAACAGCUGAGAUUAUGGAGAAUUAAAGCUUCUCAUCCAGCACAGAAG
Prinia subflava (tawny-flanked prinia) is the source of this 442-nucleotide long non-coding RNA. RefSeq lists it as uncharacterized. The transcript has 3 exons. Lineage: Eukaryota; Metazoa; Chordata; Aves; Passeriformes; Cisticolidae. The record is from RefSeq and is a predicted model, not a curated record.